AAGGUGAUGUAGAAUCAAUCAAGAAGAAGAAGAAGAGGAGGAGGAGGAGAAGAGAGGGGAAACUGGGGGAGGAGAAGAGAGAUGUGAUUAGACAAUAAUUUUCAUUUUUCAUCUAAAACUGCUUGUCAAUCCAAAUUACAAUAAUAUAAAUACCAAAAUAAUAAACUUGGGCUUGGGCAAACCCAUAUACAAGCCCAAUGAGACAUAAAGCCUAAAAUAAAAGAUAAAAUGUUCCAACAAAUGUUCUAACAAAUGGCUCGAUGAGGAUGAUGUCCGCAUCAACUCUCCCGGGGUGGGAGAAAAACUCGACCUCGUCGAGGAGGUAGAUCACAAAAGGCUGCUAUUAAUCUCCUAGCCACAAACUGAGCGGUUGAGCAAACUUCUUUCGACGUCGAUAUACACGCAAGGGUGGUGGUCCAGGUAAGGGAAGAUCUUGCUGACUCCUAUAAUACUCCAACAAAUCAGGAUCAAGCUGUUGAAGUGUCUCUUUGGAGAGCCAAGUACAAUCAGAAUCAGGGCGGUCCUCCCAACGAACAAGGAAGUGCUGAAUGUCUCCAUCCUUAGUUAAUAUGGUCUGUGCAUCUAGAAUAGUAUCAAUUUUAUCUUUAUGUGCUGUAGUAGGUGGAAUUGGGGCAGGGAUAACAUGUUCAGGAUGAGGAUCCAGAGAUGGAGGUGUGAAAGGAUCAUCAGCGAGGUGAAAUUGGCCUUUGUAAGCAACUAAGUCCUCAACAUUAAAAGUAGGAUGGUAGCCAAAAUGUGAGGGUAAGUCGAUGACAUAAGCAUUUGGACCAACACGCUUUAAAAUUUUAAAAGGACCAGAACUACGAGCUUGUAAUUUAGAAGUAGGUCCAGAUGGACGCCGUUCCAGUCUAAUUCGAAUCAUUACAUAAUCUCCAACAUUAAAUUCAACGUGGCGUUUGUGCAAAUCAGCUCGAAGUUUAUAUAGUGCAUUACUUGCUUCCAGUUGUUUAUUGAUCUCAAUAUGCAAAUCACGCAAAUGUUGUGCAAAAGACUCAGCUGACACAGACACACUAGCAUGUGGAGACAUGGGAAUAAGGUCUAAUGGCUUCCUAGGCUUAAAACCAUGAACAACCUCAAAAGGACUCGUACCUAUAGACCGAUUCACUGAACUGUUAUAUGCAAGUUGGGCAGUAGGGAGAAUUAAAUCCCAAUUCCUAAGAUUUUCCUGGACUAGACAUCUUAAUAGAUUACCAAGACUGCGGUUAACAACUUCAGUUUGACCGUCUGUUUGUGGAUGAUAUGCAGUAGAGAAUUUUAGUUUAGUGCCAACCAUACUCCAUAGGGUUCGCCAAAAAUGGCUAGUGAAACGAACAUCCCUAUCCGAGGCAAUGGUCUUAGGGAGGCCAUAUAGCUUGACGAUCUCAUGAAAGUAUAACUUAGCAACCUUAGAUGCAUCGGAAGUCUUGUUACAGGGAAUAAAGUGUACCAUUUUCGAGAAGCGAUCUACGACAACGAAAAUGGAGUCGUGUUUCUUUGGGGUACGUGGCAAUCCUAGCACGAAAUCCAUACUAAUGUCUUACCAAGGACAACUAGGGAUGGGGAGAGGAGUGUAGAGGCCUACAUUUUGCCUUUUUUGCUUAGAUCGUUGACAGGUGUUGCAUGUGCCAAUAAUCUUGGCCACAUCUGUCUUUAAACUGGGCCAAUAGAAUUGAGGUUCAAUCUCCUCUAUGGUCUUAUCACGCCCAAAAUGUCCAGCCAACCCACCAGCAUGACUUUCCCACUCUAUAAAGUCUCGUACUGAAGUCCUUGGGAUGCACAACUUAUUGGAUUUAAAAAGAUAGCCCUCCUCCAAACGGAAACCAUCAGUGGUGUCCAACUCCCCAUUUUGCAAAGCAAGAAAAAUGUCUUUGAAAUCGGGACAUAGCUCGUACUCUUCCUUAAGUCUUUCAAACCCUAGAACCUUAACACUCAUGAUGGACAACAAGGAAAUGUGACGGCUUAAAGCGUCAGCAGCUCGAUUUUCAACACCCUUUUUAUGCUUUAAGACAAAAGAAUAGGCCUGCAAAUAUUCGAUCCAGCGGCCAUGCCUAG
This 2052-nucleotide long non-coding RNA is filed under the name Olea europaea subsp. europaea. The record is from RNAcentral. Lineage: Eukaryota; Viridiplantae; Streptophyta; Magnoliopsida; Lamiales; Oleaceae.